This is a non-coding RNA of Camellia sinensis, 2971 nucleotides long. Lineage: Eukaryota; Viridiplantae; Streptophyta; Magnoliopsida; Ericales; Theaceae. The record is from RefSeq and is a predicted model, not a curated record.
AUUUGUCUAUGUGGCAUACAAAUCAAGGGCUGAGAUCACACUUCAAGGCCAUACAAAUCAAAGGCAGAGAUCACAUUUCUCUUCCCCUCUGUUUUUCAGAUUUCAAAUUUCAAACAUCAUUCUUGAAGACGCUACCCUUCUCUCUCUCUUUCUCACCCUCACAAACCUCAACCCCUCCUUGCGUAACGCCCAUUUUAGGCCUUUGAUCUUUAAAGCAAAAUUAUCGAUCUUUCCUUACAAUGGACUCUGAUUCGUGGACUACGCGCGUCUCUUAGCUGCCUCCAGGCGAUAUCAAUCUCGAUCUGCUCACGGAGGAGGUGAUGUUGAUGGUGAUGAUGAGCCGCGGCUGGAGUUUCUUUGCCCGUUCUGUGCCGAGGAAUUCGACGUUGCCAUAUCGAAGAAGCCCAUCCUGUUGAAGCUAAGAAUGGGCAUUAACCAAUUGUGGUGCUGCUGUUGUUGGGAAAAUUGUGGUGUUGCUGCUGUUGGGAAAAUUGUGGUGCUACUGCUAUUGGGAAAAUUGUGGUGUUCUUGCUGUUGGGAAAGAAUCGAAUUGUUCGAGGGAUUUAACCCAUGUUAACCAAGUAAUUUGAUUUCUCUUUCUCUCCCUUUCUCUCUAUCUCUAUUUCUUUUUGGUUCUUUCUGGAAUAGCUAUGCUCACAUUUUCUGCACAAAAAAAAAAAAAAAAGAAAGAAAAAAGAAAGAGUAUGAAGAGUAAUUGAGUAAAAAAAGAAGAGUAAUUGAGUAAUUGUAUGUGAAGUCUGACUUCUUCCAUAUUUUUUUUUUUUUAAGUGUUGGUGCUGUGAAAUGUUCUAUUUUGGGUUUGGAAUUGGAUUGUUUUACUAUGAAGCUUUUGGGUGGGGCUGUUGGCAAAAUUGCAGGUUUAGUUGAAGUGCUGGUAAAUUGGUGUUGUUGAAGUGCUAAAUUUGAAGUUUAUUUGGGUUAUUAAUAAAUUGGUGUUUCAUUUGAGUUUCAUAGAAUUUUGUUUCUUCCUGUGAAUUCACUUUUUACUCUUUCAAAAGAAAAAAAAAUUGUGCUAUGUUGUGUGACUCUUUUGGGUGUCUGUCCACUUCAGAUUUCUUUUGCUGUGUUUCUUUGCAUGUUUGUACCAACUGUUUUUUUUUUAAUAUUAUAAAACUUGCAGCUUUCUUGCUAUUUUGAGGUUAUAAAAAUAUAUAAGCCUUUGGUUGGAUUGUAAGGGGUGAGAAAAGAAUGGAAAUGACACAGCACAUCACAUUGGUUUACUGCAUGUAAAGGCAUUACUGUCAUGGAUAUAAACUGUAACCUAUGAGAUUAAGGCCCUUGAUCACCCAUUUUGAUUUAUUUUAAUUCAUUUUGGACCAUAAUGCAUCUUGCAUGUAGUCUGUAGUUUAUGAAAAAUUUUACUUUCCUAUAUGAUCCAAAGGUUUAGUCAUGGAAUUCUUGGGGUUUGUUUAGAAUUUCUUGGGCUGUGUCUGUUUGUUUUGCCUCUCCCAUUCUCUAUCUGUUUGAUUGCUAACUAUUAAACUUAUUUUUCUAUCAGUUUCUUCAUUUUCAUUUUGGUUGUUUUAGGAUCAGUUUGAGAGUGGAAUGAACAAGAGCCUAAUUUCCUCAUUCUACGAACAAUUAAUCAAGCUGUCAUGUGCUUGAAUGUUUUUAUUGUUUUAUUUUAUUUAAAUUUUGUCCUUUACAAAUUUCAAUUACAUUUUGAUCCUAACAUUAUUUACAAUGUUGCUUCAGUUGCCUUCAUUAUUAUUUAUAAAAUGUUGUUGUCGGGUGUAUCUUAUUGCUUUAGAAUUGCCAAUUACAUUAUUGCUUUACUUGCCCUCCCACCCUCUGUUUCUUCCCAGUCCGACAAAGGCAAAGGAAACUAAAUAUAUUCUACUUAGCUUCUUUUGCUAUUUUUUAAAUAGAACUCUACGGUGAUCAUUCUUGAAUAUAUGUGUGAGUCUAUAAAGUUGGAUCAAACUGAGUUUUCUCAAUUGUGUAGUUUUAUUCUCAUUUUAGGAAAUUAUAUGAGCAUCAAAAUUAUAUGAGUCCUUCAUAUUGGUUUGGUUUGUAAACUGUGUUCACAUACUAAUUUUUGGUUUGGAAUUGUUUUGCUUCCGCUACUAUGAAACAUUAUUUGGCCAUUUUUGCCUUAUCUUCUACACUUAAAUUAGGGCUUUCUUUUUCUUAGAGAGAUUUCUUUUUCUUCUUUUUCUUUUUUCCUAGAGCGAUUUCUUUUCUUCUUUUUCUUUUUUCCUUCAAUUUGUGUAGUGGAUUACAAAUAUUUACUUUUAGAUUUGUGGAUUAUGUUGAUUAGGUUAUACAAUUAUUUCUCUUUUGGUCUACAAAACAUGUUGAUGUACACAAAUUUCUCCACCAUGACCACAGUAGCAGAUUUGCCUCUUCCUUUUCGCAGACACCCACACUCACAACCAUCUCUGCUCCUCCCUCCUUAGCGACCCUUUGUCGACAUCUUGAUUGCAACAACUGUAGCAACCCCACUCCCCAUCUCAACCAUCGCACAACUACCAUCUUAGCCUCAUGCAACAUUGCGAAGGCAUGUCCAUGGAUGAUAAAAGCAGAAUGUUAACAAUAGCCAAACUCAUAAUUUGUCAAUCGGCCUUAUCCGCACCAUCUUCUGUCAAUAUCAUGGUCUCUGCAGUGUUCCUCUGCCUCGCAUCCUCUCCUCAACACCAACACACCUCCACCACCGCGGCCACCGCAACAACAACAAACACCCACAUUAUCAACCUCUCCAGAAUAGAUGUGUGUGUUAUAUUUUCUGUAGUCAAUUUCUUAGUAUUUACCAUUUCUAUAUCCAAAAACUAAUCUAUUUUUUUGUUUGUCUAAAAAAUAAAAAAUUAAAUGAUGAGCUUAUAUGACAUUCUACUACUCUCUCUCUUACCCAAUUCAAAAACAACCUCUCCAAAACAGAAUGAUUAUGUAGUUUUAUCUGUUUGGUAUGUUUCUAUUUGGUAUUUUUUCAUUUUUUUUUUUUUUUUUUUUU